This 1286-nucleotide long non-coding RNA is filed under the name Betta splendens (Siamese fighting fish). RNAcentral's name for it is "lncRNA (ENSBSLG00000016237.1)". The record is from RNAcentral. Lineage: Eukaryota; Metazoa; Chordata; Actinopteri; Anabantiformes; Osphronemidae.
CAAUAGGCGUCAUCGCAGACAUCCUGGCGCCACCUGUGACACCAGCUCUGCCCACUCAAACCAGCCCAGCCAAUCAGAUGCCAAGCAUGCUUCUGCCUGUCAAUCAAAGCACACCUGGAAUAUCACUCAUAUCAGGUGAGUGUGAUACAAAUACGGUUAGGACAUAUUUGUGUGGGUGUUAGCUGCAAUGACACACUCGUUGUGAUACUGAUUUCAAUUUAAAUGUUUUCCUGUUUUGUUUAGGUUAUUUAAAUUGUAACAUCAGCCAACUCUGCUCAAACAACAGUAAGAGACAAUCAACAUUUGGCCCAUCACAGUUUCACAUUCAAGCACAUCUGGUCUUUUUUGUGACGUUGUAUGUUCAUACAGCUGCCUACUUUUGGAUGUCCAUAAGUGUGCAAGUCAGCGGGGGCAACGGGAUCGACCAAUCCGUUGUGAGAGAUCUGGUGAGAGUGGAAUCUUUCCCCGGUUUCCUCGUCUGACUUCACGCAUUUCAUAACUUCAAAUGUCAAAAACGGGUUUUGCCAGCAGAGGAUUAGUUUGUAGGCGCAGCAGCGAAUUCCUUCUGAAAUUGCAGCACAUUCCAGACAUGUGAUGCAGCUGAUAUUAUUUGGACUUAAAAGGCCCUGAGUUCUUUGAUGUUUACUUGUAAAAUGGAUGCGAGAUCAGUGUCAGUGUUGUUAAGAUUGAAUGGUCUUGAUUUAAUGAAUGCGAUGGCAGUGCAGCUCCAGUUUCAGUUGGCAGAUAUCGACUAAGAACUUGUAACAAAGCCAGUGCAUGUUGAAGCUGGACAGGACAAUCACCCUCCUCUCAUCGCAUCCUCCACACUAUUUGCAUCCAUCCAUCUGUGCCUCUCAAUCUUUCACACAGGUGUCCAGUGCGUUUGACUGCACAAAGUGGCUGGCAGGCUUCUGCCAGGGGGGCAACCAGCCUCAGAUAGUGGAGGUGACCUGUGCGGUGAACACCAGCAUAAGGAACACGACCUGCAGCGUGCUGUUGAUGCUCAGCCGCGCCGUCUCGCCCUGCGAACUGCAAGUGGCUGGACAGUCUGCACUGCAGCGGUCACAGACGAUACAAGUCGCCAUCGUAGGAGUAGUGGAGCGAGUCGGUGAGCGCCGGACAGUCAGAGGUUGAAGCUAGUGGAGCCUAAACGCCCCCCUCCGAGGCUCACAAGCUGUUAGAGUCACAGUAUAGUCACAUAAAGUCACUUUUGCAUACAAGCUUAGCCCUAAACAGACACAUUAUAUAAUAGAUAUAGAUAUACCUGUUACAUGCAAAACAGCAAC